RNAcentral lists this long non-coding RNA (332 nucleotides) under Bos taurus (domestic cattle). RNAcentral's name for it is "long non-coding RNA NONBTAT026839". Lineage: Eukaryota; Metazoa; Chordata; Mammalia; Artiodactyla; Bovidae. The record is from RNAcentral.
UUAUAAUAUUUUCCUUUUUAUUUGGCCUUAAAAGGCUAAAUGAAAACAAUGAAAAAUCUGAGCGUUUAAUUCACCAGGUCCCUUCUGGCAUUCAGCAAUUCAAAGAAAGUACAUACUUAUUAUGUAAUGUAUUUUUAUUUCUCCAGUAACCAGAAUGGGACUAUUAGGCUGAUAUACUCAACAGUUAUUAAAUAUAUAUAGCAUAUUAUAUAUAUGUGCACAAAGUAAAAAUCAGUCUAAAGUUAAUCUCAUAUGUUUUUAGUUGCAAUGUAGAUUUAAGCAAUUAGAAAUACUCAAAAACUAGUAAUACUCAAAAAAAGCUAGGCUUCAAA